Molecule: ribosomal RNA, 176 nt
Filed under: Acaulospora brasiliensis
Lineage: Eukaryota; Fungi; Glomeromycota; Glomeromycetes; Diversisporales; Acaulosporaceae
Source: RNAcentral
CAGUCAUGCUAGUGAGGAAUCAACUUGGUGGUUUACUUCCUUGUGCAUUUUCUCGCUUGGCAGGUUAGCAUCAAUUUUGGUUGUCAUCAAAGAAUUGGGGGAAUGUGGCUUUUCUUCGGUAAAGUGUUAUAGACCCUGAUUGAUGUGGCGACUGGGAUUGAGGUUUGCAGCGGAUG